Molecule: ribosomal RNA, 485 nt
Filed under: uncultured bacterium
Lineage: Bacteria
Description: partial 16S ribosomal RNA
Rfam family: Bacterial small subunit ribosomal RNA
Source: RNAcentral
ACUCAAAGGAAUAGACGGGGGCCCGCACAAGCAGCGGAGCGUGUGGUUUAAUUCGAUGAUACGCGAAGAACCUUACCUGGGUUUGACAUAUAGGUAGUAGUGCGGUGAAAGCCGGACGACCCUUCGGGGAGCCUAUACAGGUGCUGCAUGGCUGUCGUCAGCUCGUGUCGUGAGAUGUUGGGUUAAGUCCCGCAACGAGCGCAACCCUCGUCGUUAGUUACAAGUGUCUAACGAGACUGCUGGUUUCAAACCGGAGGAAGGUGGGGAUGACGUCAAGUCAGCAUGGUCUUUAUAUCCAGGGCUACACACACGCUACAAUGGCCGGUACAAUGGGUGGCCACACCGCAAGGUGGCGCUAAUCCUCAAAGCCGGUCUCAGUUCAGAUUGUCGUCUGCAACUCGACGGCAUGAAGGCGGAGUUGCUAGUAACCGCGCGUCAGCCAUAGUGCGGUGAAUGCGUUCCCGGGCCUUGCACACACCGCCCGU